Molecule: transfer RNA, 72 nt
Filed under: Crassvirales sp.
Lineage: Duplodnaviria; Heunggongvirae; Uroviricota; Caudoviricetes; Crassvirales
Description: tRNA-Arg
Rfam family: tRNA
About the family: Transfer RNA (tRNA) molecules are approximately 80 nucleotides in length. Their secondary structure includes four short double-helical elements and three loops (D, anti-codon, and T loops).
Source: RNAcentral
GCUCUCAUAGUUCAAGGGAUAGAACAUAGACCUCCUAAGUCUGGGAUACAAGUUCGAGUCUUGUUGGGAGCA